Molecule: long non-coding RNA, 702 nt
Organism: Micropterus dolomieu (smallmouth bass)
Lineage: Eukaryota; Metazoa; Chordata; Actinopteri; Centrarchiformes; Centrarchidae
Exons: 2
Source: RefSeq, a predicted model, not a curated record
UAGAAAAAGUAGGUUUUGCAUAUUUAUACUUAUUUAAAAAAAAUAAGUAUAAAGUACAAAUGGGAGUGACCUACAUCACUAGAUGCAGCUUAAUUAAGGGAAACCAUGGAUAUAAGAUUUUUGAAUGUGGGACAUACUGUGUGGGAGUUAUGAGCCAAAACGUGUUUAUAGAGCCACCUGCUGGUUGACGUGUCCUUUUCUUGUGUCUGAGGUGUGUGCCCCAGUCUUUACCACCCAUGUGAAUUUGAACUUUUAUAGUUUAGGCUACAGUAUGACUUUUAUCAACAGAAGAAUAAAAACAAAUCUGAGUAAUUUUCAUAGGGUUUCCAGCAGCGGAUCAAGCAUCAACCCAUUUGAUGGUCCCCUGAUCCAGUGGAGUUACGUGCCAAGGCCAGAUGUCUGAUCCCCUUGGCCAAGUCUUAUCUGAGUUGGAACUUCCCUAAAACACUGGAGUCAGAUAAUUAAGCCUGGAAGAUGCCUACUAGGCAAAUUUCAGUAGAAAAUAGGAUGAUGUGCCCAAAAUAUGACCUGCGGUAUGAUUGGUUCAUUUUUAGAAAUAGGUGGAGACUUUACCAAGACUCCACCUGGAAAGGGAUGAGAAUCUGGGCUUUAUAACACAGAGCACAGCCAGUGUGUAGUCGGUAUGGUUCUGGAGCCUUAGUCGGCUUUGUCUUGUGAAAUAAUAAACUCUAUUCCGUUGAA